UCGCUACUACCGAUUGAAUGGCUUAGUGAGCUCUCUGGACUGCUGUAUUGCGUUGGCAACUUCGCAGUAUGUGCGGGAAGGAGAUCAAACUUGAUCAUUUAGAGGAAGUAA
Molecule: ribosomal RNA, 111 nt
Filed under: uncultured eukaryote
Lineage: Eukaryota
Description: partial small subunit ribosomal RNA
Rfam family: Eukaryotic small subunit ribosomal RNA
Source: RNAcentral